GGAGAGGUGGGUGAGUGGCUGAAACCGCACCCCUGCUAAGGGUGUAUACCGCAAGGUAUCGAGGGUUCGAAUCCCUCCCUCUUCGCCA
RNAcentral lists this transfer RNA (88 nucleotides) under Deinococcus grandis. RNAcentral's name for it is "tRNA-Ser". It matches the Rfam family "tRNA". From Rfam's summary of the family: Transfer RNA (tRNA) molecules are approximately 80 nucleotides in length. The record is from RNAcentral. Lineage: Bacteria; Thermotogati; Deinococcota; Deinococci; Deinococcales; Deinococcaceae. RNAcentral also lists the same sequence under 22 other names.